This 715-nucleotide long non-coding RNA is filed under the name Triticum aestivum (bread wheat). Its description in RNAcentral is "long non-coding RNA (TAES_LNC027534)". The record is from RNAcentral. Lineage: Eukaryota; Viridiplantae; Streptophyta; Magnoliopsida; Poales; Poaceae.
UCAAGCACGGAAAAAAAUGCAUGUAGCCCCAGACUCCCAUUCGAGUUUUGAGUACUACAAAAAGGAAUGAAAAUGGUAGUGCUUGUGUAGUCAUAUAUCUCAACCUGACAGAAGUAAUAACUGGUCUUCCAGGUUUUUUCCCACAAGCCGCAAAUUAGUAGGUUCAGCAUGAUAAAAGCAUAGCAUCAGCAUGUACAGCUGUUUGCCAACCAGUAAAGGAACAGGCAAUGGAUAGGAAUGUCAACAGGCCUGCAUGUUGCAUGGAUUCCCUUAGUUCUGCAGAUAAAAAAAUUGGUAGUUCCCCACAACUUGUAUUAAGUAUGACACAAACUUCAGGAAUCACGGCACUAUAACUUCCUCAAAACGAUAGGGGAGGGUGGGCAUAUACCAAAAUCAACCUUCUGGAAGCACUCGCGGCGCGACUGGUUACUGGGACAGGAGAGUUUCCGCGCCAAUCCUGCACGAUACAGCCGCUACGAACUACUCCUAGUUCGCGAGCCGAUUUUUCUCCCGAUCGUGACGAAGCGCGUCGGUGUACUCAAACUGGCAACCUAAUUUGACACCGAAUCGCCGAUUAAGGUGCCUAGCAAGAGAAAAAUUCGUGCCCCGGGGACUCACCUUCCUCGCUAGGAUCGGAGCAUUUUCGGAACCCUAGCCCCGCGAACCGGAUCGCGAUCCCGGCGACUCCACGCCGCAAGCGCUGGGCUCCGGGAGC